Molecule: long non-coding RNA, 1848 nt
Organism: Panicum virgatum (switchgrass)
Lineage: Eukaryota; Viridiplantae; Streptophyta; Magnoliopsida; Poales; Poaceae
Exons: 4
Source: RefSeq, a predicted model, not a curated record
GCAUUUUUAGUUUGGUUUCUGUAUUCUGAUUUAUUCGAGUUAUUCUUCCGAUGAUCUUGUUGCGGCCAUCUGCCUUUGCUUGUCAGAUCCCAUGCUGCAACCACGCGCGACUCCGAGGCUGUUAGUCCGGUAUGAACGGUGGUCUGAUGAAUUGCUGCUGUACAGUAGCGGCGGUGGCAGGGCAGUGUCCGGCUGUACUAGAAUUGCUUGGAAGGUAGAAGUUUUGGUCUCGUGCGGCUGUACUGCUUUGGGAGGGCUAGCAGUAUUUUUGUUUUUGAUAUCAUUUGCAUUCUAGAAUUCUAAGGAUACUUAUGAGUUUACGUACUGUUUUUUCUGCUAUUCUGAAGCUUGAGACUUUGAUGCAUAUCGUUAAAUUGCUUGCCACCUACAACUUCCUAUUGCUCCAGUGAACAUAGCUAUGCAAACUGAAACAUAACUCAUGUGGCUUUGGUUAUUUCAGGAUCAUGUACCACAACAUGCUUGUUUGUUGCUGUUUUGAAUGUCCACUGUAUCAUGCUUCUCUGUCCCAUCACCUAAAAUUACUUGCAAUCUAACCUAUGAAAAAAACAAGCUGGGAAGAAUGAAAUGUGUAUCUUGCACAACCUGCAGCUCUUAUUGUUUUUUCUGCAAUUGUUCUCCUAGUGAUGUCAUUUCAUUUUGUUGAUCUUCUUCUACCAGUUAACAGGUUAUUUAAGUGCACACAAUUCCAAGCCUACAUUUAGUACAGGUAUACUUUCUCUAGGUUUCACUUAGAGCCCAACUGCAAUGUAGACCAAAGUAUUCCUGGAUGGCUGGAUCUGCUGCUAUUCUGAGGGCAUCAGCUUGUUGUAUUGUCUGUUUUACGCUUUGAGAACUUUACCUGUCGUUUUGCUCAAGCCAAGAAUUUGGUGGCUACAACAAAUUUGUAUUCACUUAAAAUGGAGAUGUCUGAUUUGUUUUUUGGUUUAGUCAAUUUUCAUAUUUGAAUUCAAACGUGGCUCUGGGUCGGGAUCUUGCACAUCAGAUUUGAGUUUGUAGCUGCACAUGCAGCUCUGGGUCAGGUGAGAUUUACGCUCUCAACCUCUCGUGCCCUGCAAUCAUGGAAAAGUGCAACAUGGCCCAAGUUAUGUUCGUAUGCCCACUGAAGUGAACUUCCAAACAUUGCACAUACUAAUGAGGUAUUGCAUACAUCUAUAACAUACCCUGUCCUACAUUCACCUGUGAUCAUUGCUUUUACAAAUGAGUUGAAGUGGUGUCUUUGAUCUCAAGCACACUGGAAAACUUGAGGAUAUGGCAAGCCUGAAGACAGAUGCUAGGCAAUCUUUGAUUCUGCUCAUUGUAAUGGUGUCCUUUGACUGUACAUGAAGCCAGAUUUUCGGAUCAGCUAGCUAUAUACAUCACCAGUCACUACAAUCUCAGAGCAUCCCCCAUACUCCACAAAAUGUGCAACAGCAACUGCUCUUAGAGUUCAUCUGUACCAUUGCAAACUACAGGGAAACAACACAUUUCUAUCAUUAGAUUUAUGUACUGUUGGUUGCAUUUUACAUAACCAAUCCACUUGCAUAAAUCUGAUAUAAGCAAAUGCAAAUUGUUAAGUACAGAAUAAUAGAGUUGAAGUGUUGCAAAUUGCUGCAGAAAUGUUGCUACUCCUCCAUGUUCUACUCAAGAGGUCUGGCAAACAUAAGGAUAUUCCGAGACCAAUGACAGCAACCAAGCAAUUUUCAAUUCUACUUCUUGUGGUUUGGUCAUGGGCAUCUGUAUGCAACCACAUUUUUGUGUCGACUAUCUCCCAGAUUCGCUCUGGAAGAGCGUCCUCUGAAAACUUGUGCAGAUCCAAUGAUCCUCUGAACACGUCAUCAGUUGGGCUCC